This 444-nucleotide ribosomal RNA is filed under the name uncultured bacterium. RNAcentral describes it as "partial 16S ribosomal RNA". It matches the Rfam family "Bacterial small subunit ribosomal RNA", at positions 354 to 796 of the family's 1533-position model. The record is from RNAcentral.
GUAGGGAAUAUUGGGCAAUGGUCGGAAGACUGACCCAGCCAUGCCGCGUGCAGGAAGACGGCCCUCUGGGUUGUAAACUGCUUUUAUCUGGGAAGAAAAAGGCCAUGCGUGGCAAAUUGACGGUACCAGAUGAAUAAGCACCGGCUAACUCCGUGCCAGCAGCCGCGGUAAUACGGAGGGUGCAAGCGUUGUCCGGAUUUAUUGGGUUUAAAGGGUGCGUAGGCGGCUGAUUAAGUCAGCGGUGAAAGACUCCGGCUUAACCGGAGCAGUGCCGUUGAUACUGGUUAGCUUGAGUGUUGGAGAGGUACAUGGAAGUGAUGGUGUAGCGGUGAAAUGCAUAGAUACCAUCAGUAACACCGAUAGCGAAGGCAUUGUACUGGCCAACAACUGACGCUGAUGCACGAAAGUGUGGGGAUCGAACAGGAUUAGAAACCCCUGUAGUCC